CUGAUAAUUAGCUGGUGUGGAAGAAAUCAGGCGGCACUUUACUGAUGUGAAGUUUGAAAGCUAUUUUCUGAACAUAAAAGAAAGAAAGUCUGACAGGAUUUAUGCAAGGAUACUGAAACACCACGGAUGGAUUGACGUAGAGCUAGUACUGGUAGUGGGGCAAAAGUGGAUGCUGCUAGUAACAGGUAUCGGAGGGGGCAAGACAAGGGCUAGCUAGCAUAGAGGCGAUUUUAAACUUCAGCGCUUCAAACGUAAGCAGUUCUGCGUCAAAUCAUGUAAAUCAGACCAUCCGCCUCGUACAUGAUAAAGAAUAGCACCAGUAAAAGCAAGCAGUAUCCCACUGUUUUGUGUUGGCUCGAUGAAAGGUGAUACAAACGAAUUUCCGAAUCACAUUAUGUCGGCUUGGUUGUAGUUGUUGUGGCCAGUCAAUAGACAAGCUUUGAACCGUAGUUCCAUGUAAGUGUCGUGGUUUUCACCGUUUCAGUAUGUAGUUGAAUAUGGUAGAUCUGGGCAACUGGUCAACGCUGUCGUGUUUUGUCUCGGUAGACCUCGUAUGACGGUGUGUUGGGAAAAUACCGGCAGUUGUUUCAGAUGGAGGGUGCGACGUGCCAGAUGUACGCUGUUCGAGGGAUAAAACUGACACGCACGAGAUAUUGUAGGCAAUGGUAAUUGGUGACGAUACCAUGACGUUUGAAAAGAAGAUUCAAAGUUUGAGUUUUAGGUGGCAGAGUAGAACAGCUGCGUGUGAAGUGUGGCGACUACCAAGGUAUCAACACCAGUUAUGGCUACGGGAUUUUUAAAGUACCUUCAAUGCACUGGGAACUAACGUGCUCUCCCCCCCUCUCUCUCCUCUCUUAAUCAGGGCCCAGGUCUUGUGGCCACAUCUGUCCAAGCUCCUACUCUGAUUGAACAGUUAGAUGAUCAGACUGAUGAUGAAAAGUGCUACACAGUUCUCACACAUCUUCUGACUCCGAAGCCGCUGCAGUGUAAAAUCUGAGAUGUCUUUUCUGGUUGACUUUGUGCAGGUAUUUUUCAAAGGAUAGUUACUUUUAAAACGUCUUAAUCUCUAAAAACACUUUCAUGCAGAGCCUCUGUUAGGACCUCAUUGCGAUACAUGUUAUGACCUUGUCACCAAAAUGUCAAUGACCAUAUUUUAACCUGCUAUUUAAGGCUGUCAUAGCCAUAUUCUUAUAACAAUGCAGUUAAGUUCAAGAGAACUAUAGUUUGGUGAUAUGGAUCCCAAACGGAAGGGAACAGCAGCGGUUUGUAGUUGUAGAGAACUAAUUAGCGCCAAGUGUUGUUAACCUGUUGUUUCUUGUUUACCUUUCACAGUAGCCCAUAGCACUUUUGUCAUAGAGAGCAACUUGGUCAGUAAAUAUGUGCCUGCUGUAUAAAGUAGCAGUAUUUGGAUGAGUUACAGCUAACACGGCAAACUUGAGACUGUAUAUUGUGUGUUUGACAGAUUUCUGACAGCGACAGCGAUGGUGAGGGAAGCAGUGUACCGAACUCUCAGAUGACUCGGACCAGGUGACCAAACCCAUGCAAAGCACAAUGACUGUGCUGAGGCGUUCCGCCCCCCUCCCCCUCCACACCACUCAAGGCACUGCGGCGGCCCAACCGCAAACUAACGGAGAUUAACAUGAGGCUGGAUGCGCUUGGCUCCCUGCUGCGUCCAUCACCAGAGGGGCCGGGAUUGCUGCGGCAGCUAGCCAAUUAAAGGAGGAGGAUGAAGGAGAGGAGUCUGACGAUGCAGACAUCGCCAUCGUAUGCAGUCCACGCCCUCGCAGGAAAACCAGCCAAUGAAAACGCUUGCAGCAGCAUCAGCAGAACACACCGGCACGACUGACAGAGCUUCUGAAGCAUGCAGUGGAAGAGCUGUCAGUCAAGCUAAAGGUCCCGCCCUCCAACCUGCUGCUGCUGCACGGACAGGCGGAACUUAACACCUCACACACUAUUGGCCAGCUAGGACUCUGCAUCGCUGACAUCUUUGUCUGGAACCAACUUCACAUCCCUCUUCACUGCACUACUGACACUGAGAUGGAAUCCACAACCCAACCACUAGUGAUCUGCAUUGGGAACCUGAAGAGUCUGUCAUAACCGCCAGGAAUGACCGUGUGACCAUUCCCGUUGCAGACGGCCUGACUUGCACAAUUGACAAGCUGUUCAAGCUUUACUGGGUCUGCAACUUGUUAUAUCCAGCACAGCUCAGCUCUGUUUUCACCUUCUUUGAAUAUGUUUAUGACGCUCCCAUCUCAACCAACAAACGAACAAAGGCACUACAACUUCUCUCAAAGCUUCCCAGCAGCCCAGUGAUCACAACAUGUGUUUAUGCCCAAAAUGUAAAUAGUUACUACAGACAUCAAGAAAGUAGUUUGGCAUCUUUGUCAAGUACACGCUUUGUCAGAUGCACAGGAUAUGAUGAUAAUUUGCAGCCAAGAUGGCUGUUCAAGUGUACAAGGACUUACUAUGUAGACACCACCUCCGUAGACAACACCAGUCCACAACAACAGAAAUGGGAGUAUCUUUCAAUGACUCUUUUGAAUCCACUGACAUUCAGACAGCCUAUGCAGCUUCAAGUAACACCUGAAGAAAGAGCAUUUUGUGUCCCUUCUCAAGGACCGAUUCUCCAUAAUUUACCACUUAAUGACAAUUUAUCUGUGUUCAUGCUUGUUAGGAUUAUUACAGGGAAUUAUUUUGAUUAUCAUUUUGGCAACACUUUAUUUUAUCAUUACAUCUAUUAGCUCUAAUACAUACAGUGUUAAUGCCUGUAUGCUGUAUAAGUAACUUGUAAGGCAUGCACUAAGCAAAAUCAAACAUACGUUAGGCAUGUAUUCGCAAAUGCCUUGUUCAUGCACAAUUUGGGAUUUAUUACCUAAUAUAACCUCAGUAAGGACCUAACAAAUGUUUGAUUUCGCUUAGUACAUGCCUUACAAGUUACUUAUACAGGCAUUAACUCAUUGAUACUGGAUGUUGCGUUGUGCAACAUUGGCCCUGGCGCCUGGAGUUUUGUAUGGCAUCAGCACCCUUUUCUGCAAGUGCUUUAGGCAUCAAUGGGUUAACAUUGUAUGUAUUAGUGCUAAGCGAUGUAAUGUUAAAAUAAAGUGUUACCAUCAUAUUUUUAAAAAAUAUAUAUGUUGUAAAACUGGACGAUUGUGAAAUUAUAUGAUGUGGCAGAUGUAAGACCCAUUGAUGUAAUGCAGAGUUUUCAUUCAGAUGAACUGUCUCUUAACCCAAGGUACAAUGUCUUUUCUUCCAAUAUGUUGGAACCUAUUUCAUAAGAAUGUUAUUUUCAAGAAUAUUUAACACUACUUCGAAUUUCAAGACUUUCGGGUUUUGUAAUACACCGGUAAUGUUGUUAAGAGAUGAUAGUGUACGAGUCAUAAUCAUCAAUACUUCAUGAAAUUCGCAGUGAUGUUAAUUAUUCUUGAAAAAGAUCACAUUUGUUAUCUCCCCCUCUUCUGAAAAGCCUAACAAAAAUAAUAUGACAGUAAAGUUAAUGUAAUACAAUUUUUUUUUUAAAUUGAAUGUAAACACAACUCUACAAAAAAAAACGUUGCAGAGGUAUGUAGUCAAGACUUUUGAAGAUUGAACCUUGUAAACAAAAGUGUUUUCUAAAUAAAAGUAAACCCCCCCUGUCA
This is a long non-coding RNA of Engraulis encrasicolus (European anchovy), 3638 nucleotides long. RefSeq lists it as uncharacterized. Lineage: Eukaryota; Metazoa; Chordata; Actinopteri; Clupeiformes; Engraulidae. The transcript is spliced from 6 exons. The record is from RefSeq and is a predicted model, not a curated record.